This is a long non-coding RNA of Mauremys reevesii (Reeves's turtle), 1034 nucleotides long. RefSeq lists it as uncharacterized. The transcript is spliced from 3 exons. The record is from RefSeq and is a predicted model, not a curated record. Lineage: Eukaryota; Metazoa; Chordata; Testudines; Geoemydidae.
CUUCCUGACCAUGACAGGAGGAAGGCAUCAGAGAGGGAGUGCUUGACCAGACCUUGCUGAGAAAACCAGUGGCAUUUCCUGUUUUUCCUGGUGGCUAAUAGGUCCAGCUGGGGAGCUCCCCUCCUUUGGAAGAUCAUACAGGCUACCUCUGGGUGGAGCGAUCACUCAUGGUGAGAGGAGAAGACCCUGCUGAGGUGAUCCGCUAGUGUGUUCUUGACACCAGGGAGGUGACAAGUUUCCAGAUGGAUCUCGUGGCUGAUGCAGAAGUCCCAGAGACGGAGUGCAUCUUGGCAGAGAGUUGACGAGCAAACUCCCCCUUUCCUGUUGAUGUAGAACAUUGAGGCUGUGUUGUCCAUCAGGACUCUCCUCAUCACCUUGCCUGACAGGUGAGGUAGGAAGACUCCACAUGCCAAGCAGACUGCCCUAAGUUCUUUGAUGUUUACGUGUAACGUCAUCUUUUCUGGGGAUCACAUACCCUGGGUCUGGAGAUCGCCGAGGUGUGCACCCCAGCCAAGAUCCGAGGUGUCCGAUACCAACUCGAUAGAGUGAGGUGGGGUGUCAAACGGAACUACCUCUAGGACUGUCCUGCGAUCGGUCCACAAUUGCAGUGAGGCCCAGGGAGCAGCACAUGGCUUGCAGCACUGCAAUAUCCUUUUGGACUUGAGACCUAGAGCUGCCUUUGACCAGCCAGUCGUCGAGGUAUGAGUAGAUCUGGAUUCCCUGACACCUGAGGACCUGGCUGUCGAAGCGAAGGUCCUGCAUCGACUGCUGAGCCUUGGUAGACAAGCUCGAGAGAAGCAGCCAGGAAGUUCGCUGCAUAGAGAUGGUGGAGGCCAUGGUGAAAGCAGCAGUAUCUGCCGUGUCUGAAGUUGCCUGGAGGAUCUGGCCGCAGCCAUGCCCUCCUCGAGGAUCGCCCGGAAUUCCUUCCUGGAGCCUUCGGGGAGCGAAGCCUCAAACUUGGCCAUGGCUUGCCACAUGUAGUAAUUGUAGUGGCCAAGGAGAGCUUAGUGAUUGGCCACUCUCAACUGCAGGCU